CCUAAUACAUGCAAGUCGAACGAACUCUGGUAUUGAUUGGUGCUUGCAUCAUGAUUUACAUUUGAGUGAGUGGCGAACUGGUGAGUAACACGUGGGAAACCUGCCCAGAAGCGGGGGAUAACACCUGGAAACAGAUGCUAAUACCGCAUAACAACUUGGACCGCAUGGUCCGAGCUUGAAAGAUGGCUUCGGCUAUCACUUUUGGAUGGUCCCGCGGCGUAUUAGCUAGAUGGUGGGGUAACGGCUCACCAUGGCAAUGAUACGUAGCCGACCUGAGAGGUAAUCGGCCACAUUGGGACUGAGACACGGCCCAAACUCCUACGGGAGGCAGCAGUAGGGAAUCUUCCACAAUGGACGAAAGUCUGAUGGAGCAACGCCGCGUGAGUGAAGAAGGGUUUCGGCUCGUAAAACUCUGUUGUUAAAGAAGAACAUAUCUGAGAGUAACUGUUCAGGUAUUGACGGUAUUUAACCAGAAAGCCACGGCUAACUACGUGCCAGCAGCCGCGGUAAUACGUAGGUGGCAAGCGUUGUCCGGAUUUAUUGGGCGUAAAGCGAGCGCAGGCGGUUUUUUAAGUCUGAUGUGAAAGCCUUCGGCUCAACCGAAGAAGUGCAUCGGAAACUGGGAAACUUGAGUGCAGAAGAGGACAGUGGAACUCCAUGUGUAGCGGUGAAAUGCGUAGAUAUAUGGAAGAACACCAGUGGCGAAGGCGGCUGUCUGGUCUGUAACUGACGCUGAGGCUCGAAAGUAUGGGUAGCAAACAGGAUUAGAUACCCUGGUAGUCCAUACCGUAAACGAUGAAUGCUAAGUGUUGGAGGGUUUCCGCCCUUCAGUGCUGCAGCUAACGCAUUAAGCAUUCCGCCUGGGGAGUACGGCCGCAAGGCUGAAACUCAAAGGAAUUGACGGGGGCCCGCACAAGCGGUGGAGCAUGUGGUUUAAUUCGAAGCUACGCGAAGAACCUUACCAGGUCUUGACAUACUAUGCAAAUCUAAGAGAUUAGACGUUCCCUUCGGGGACAUGGAUACAGGUGGUGCAUGGUUGUCGUCAGCUCGUGUCGUGAGAUGUUGGGUUAAGUCCCGCAACGAGCGCAACCCUUAUUAUCAGUUGCCAGCAUUAAGUUGGGCACUCUGGUGAGACUGCCGGUGACAAACCGGAGGAAGGUGGGGAUGACGUCAAAUCAUCAUGCCCCUUAUGACCUGGGCUACACACGUGCUACAAUGGAUGGUACAACGAGUUGCGAACUCGCGAGAGUAAGCUAAUCUCUUAAAGCCAUUCUCAGUUCGGAUUGUAGGCUGCAACUCGCCUACAUGAAGUCGGAAUCGCUAGUAAUCGCGGAUCAGCAUGCCGCGGUGAAUACGUUCCCGGGCCUUGUACACACCGCCCGUCACACCAUGAGAGUUUGUAACACCCAAAGUCGGUGGGGUAACCUUUUAGGAACCAGCCGCCUAAGGUGGGACAGAUGAUUAGGGUGAAGUCGUAACAAGGUAGCCGUAGGAGAACCUGCGGCUGGAUCACCUCCUUU
Molecule: ribosomal RNA, 1520 nt
Filed under: Lactiplantibacillus plantarum
Lineage: Bacteria; Bacillati; Bacillota; Bacilli; Lactobacillales; Lactobacillaceae
Description: partial 16S ribosomal RNA
Rfam family: Bacterial small subunit ribosomal RNA
Source: RNAcentral